ACGAACGCUGGCGGCGUGCCUAAUACAUGCAAGUAGAACGCUGAAGGAGGAGCUUGCUUCUCUGGAUGAGUUGCGAACGGGUGAGUAACGCGUAGGUAACCUGCCUGGUAGCGGGGGAUAACUAUUGGAAACGAUAGCUAAUACCGCAUAAUAUUGACUAUUGCAUGAUAGUCAGUUGAAAGGUGCAACUGCACCACUACCAGAUGGACCUGCGUUGUAUUAGCUAGUUGGUGGGGUAACGGCUCACCAAGGCGACGAUACAUAGCCGACCUGAGAGGGUGAUCGGCCACACUGGGACUGAGACACGGCCCAGACUCCUACGGGAGGCAGCAGUAGGGAAUCUUCGGCAAUGGACGGAAGCCUGACCGAGCAACGCCGCGUGAGUGAAGAAGGUUUUCGGAUCGUAAAGCUCUGUUGUAAGAGAAGAACGAGUGUGAGAGUGGAAAGCUCACACUGUGACGGUAUCUUACCAGAAAGGGACGGCUAACUACGUG
This 494-nucleotide ribosomal RNA is filed under the name uncultured bacterium. RNAcentral's name for it is "partial 16S ribosomal RNA". It matches the Rfam family "Bacterial small subunit ribosomal RNA", at positions 29 to 507 of the family's 1533-position model. The record is from RNAcentral.